RNAcentral lists this ribosomal RNA (383 nucleotides) under uncultured Glomus. RNAcentral describes it as "SSU rRNA". It matches the Rfam family "Eukaryotic small subunit ribosomal RNA", at positions 536 to 927 of the family's 1831-position model. Lineage: Eukaryota; Fungi; Glomeromycota; Glomeromycetes; Glomerales; Glomeraceae. The record is from RNAcentral.
CACGGGGGUUGGAGGGCAAGUCUGGUGCCAGCAGCCGCGGUAAUUCCAGCUCCAAUAGCGUAUAUUAAAGUUGUUGCAGUUAAAAAGCUCGUAGUUGAAUUUCGGGAUCAGUAGGUCGGUCAUGCCUAUGGUAUGUACUGGCUUUACUGGUUCCUCCUUCUUGAUGAUCUGUAAUGUCAUUAAUUUGGUGUUGCAGGGAGUCAGGACUGUUACUUUGAAAAAAUUAGAGUGUUUAAAGCAGGCAUACGCUUGAAUACAUUAGCAUGGAAUAAUGAAAUAGGACGUUCGAUCCUAUUUUGUUGGUUUCUAGGAUUGACGUAAUGAUUAAUAGGGAUAGUUGGGGGCAUUAGUAUUCAAUUGUCAGAGGUGAAAUUCUUGGAUUU